Molecule: ribosomal RNA, 468 nt
Filed under: uncultured bacterium
Lineage: Bacteria
Description: partial 16S ribosomal RNA
Rfam family: Bacterial small subunit ribosomal RNA
Source: RNAcentral
GACGAACGCUGGCGGCGUGCUUAACACAUGCAAGUCGAACGGAAAGGCCCUGCUUUUGUGGGGUGCUCGAGUGGCGAACGGGUGAGUAACACGUGAGUAACCUGCCCUUGACUUUGGGAUAACUUCAGGAAACUGGGGCUAAUACCGGAUAGGAGCUCCUGCUGCAUGGUGGGGGUUGGAAAGUUUCGGCGGUUGGGGAUGGACUCGCGGCUUAUCAGCUUGUUGGUGGGGUAGUGGCUUACCACGGCUUUGACGGGUAGCCGGCCUGCGAGGGUGACCGGCCAUCAUGCGACUGGAGUACGUCCCAGACUCCUACGCGACGAAGCAGUUGGGACUGUUGCACUGCGUGCGGAAGCCUGUUGCAGCAAAGCCCCGUGCGGGAUUUCGUCCUUCGGGUUGUAAGCCGCUUUCGCCUGUGACGAAUCGUGAGUUACGGUAUUGGGUAAAUAUGCUCCGCCUAACUACGUG